UCCUUACAUUACAGAUUGAAUCCCUGGAUUCAUUCCCAUCUUAUAGCACAGUAAUCUUGGAAAGUUGCUCUUCACAGGUAUGACAAGGAAUACUAGAUGCACUGAAGGACAUCGGAUGCAAAUAUAUCUUCUUGGGGAAGGUUCCUAACAAGGAAACAGCUGGAACAUGACCCAGAAGCACUUGAAAUAUGCAGUGAUGCUUAAAGAUCAUGGAAAAUGCCAGAUUGCCCAAAUCCAAGCCCCAACAAGAAACUGGAUGAGCAAGUUAACUCACUGAGUCAACAGGAAUAAAACAUGAACAUUGGCUUAUCAUUACCUUCAGAAGACAGGAAGCCAAGGGAGGAGGAACAGAGGCAAAGGCUGCAGACCUGCAUGGAAGGUUUCCUCUG
Molecule: long non-coding RNA, 389 nt
Organism: Anolis sagrei ordinatus
Lineage: Eukaryota; Metazoa; Chordata; Lepidosauria; Squamata; Anolidae
Source: RefSeq, a predicted model, not a curated record